AAUUUAGAGAGUUUGAUCCUGGCUCAGGAUGAACGCUGGCGGCGUGCAUAACACAUUCAAGUCGAACGAACGAGCGCCCUUCGGGACGC
RNAcentral lists this ribosomal RNA (89 nucleotides) under Clostridiales bacterium. Its description in RNAcentral is "partial 16S ribosomal RNA". It matches the Rfam family "Bacterial small subunit ribosomal RNA", at positions 1 to 88 of the family's 1533-position model. The record is from RNAcentral. Lineage: Bacteria; Bacillati; Bacillota; Clostridia; Eubacteriales.